Eriocheir sinensis (Chinese mitten crab) is the source of this 1486-nucleotide long non-coding RNA. RefSeq lists it as uncharacterized. Lineage: Eukaryota; Metazoa; Arthropoda; Malacostraca; Decapoda; Varunidae. The record is from RefSeq and is a predicted model, not a curated record. The transcript has 3 exons.
GCCAAGUGUACGAGGGUGCCACAGAGGGUUAGGUAAGACGCCCCUGCCAUGGCCUUACUCAACUAGGGCCAUGGACCACCGGAGGGCCAUUGGAGGGGAGAAAUAAUGGUCCAUAGUGCCAUAUUUUGUGAUUUUCAAGGAGUAGCUGUGAAUGGCCUCAAUGAAGAAUGCGAGAAGUCUGAACAUGAGAUACAGGAGGAGGAGGAGGAGGGCCUGAUACAACAAGAAUGUGGCUUCACCUACAGGGGAUGCAUUUGAGAUUAAGCCGUGAAUGGCCUCAAUGAAGAACAUGAGACACAAGAGAAGAUAGGAGGAGGAGGAGGAGGAAUACAUACAUAGGAAGAAUACAUAGGAAGAACAGACACCAGAAGACCUAUCGGUCUAUGGCGAGGGUGUCUGUUUAAGGAGGAGGAGAGAAGGAGGAGGGCCUGAUACAACAUGAAAGCCUUCCCAAAUGUGUGUGUGUGUGUGUAUUUACCCAGUUUUACCCAGUUGUAGUUUUACAGGGCCUGGGCAUUAUGCUCGUGUGGUCCCGUCUCCGUGUCUGCAUUUAUCCAACUUAUCUUUAAAGCUUUGCACACUCCUCGCUGAUACUGUAUCCUCGCUCAGACUGUUCCAAACCUCUACAUUUCUUUGCGGGAAGCUAUACUUCUUAGUGUCUCUCAAGCAUCUCCCCUUUCUCAAUUUUUUACUGUGUCCUCUUGUAUUUCUGCUUAUGUUUCCUUCUGUUAGUAGCAGUUCUUCAUUAUCUACUUCAUCUAUUUUGUUUAAUAAUUUAUAAAUUUGGAUUAGGUCUCCCCUUUCUCUUCUUUGUUCCAGUGUUGUUAAGUUCAUUUCCUUUAAUCUUUCCUCGUAUAUUAAUCCCUCCAACUCUGGGACCAUUUUUGAUGCCAUCCUCUGUAUUCUUUCUAGUUUCUUUAUAUGCUUCUUCUUAUGGGGGGACCACACUACCUCUGCAUAUUCUAAUUUUGGUCUAAUCAUGGUAGUGAUUAGCCUUCUCAUCAUGUCCUUGUCCAUGUAGCUAAAUGCUACUCCAAUAUUUCUCACCAAGUUAUAUGUGUCUCUAAAGAUCCGAUUUAUAUGACUCUCUGGUUGAUUAUCAUCCCUCAUCACUACUCCCAGGUCUCUCUCUUCAUGCACUUUUUUUAAUGUUUCACCAUUUCCCAUUUUGUAUAUCCAGAUUGGUCUUGUUUCACUUUUACCCAUUUCCAUAACAUUACAUUGUUUCACAUUAAAUUCCAUCUCCCAAUCCAUACUCCAUUUCCAAAUUUUGUAUAGGUCUUUUUGCAAUAUUUCACAAUCUUCUUUGUUUCUUAUAUGUUUUUGUAAUUUAGCGUCAUCAGCAAACAGGUUUAUGUAGCUAUUAACUCCUUCAGCCAUGUCAUUUACAUAUACCAGGAAGAUUAUCGGUGCUAAUACUGAACCCUGUGGUACUCCGCUUUCUACAUUUCUCCAUUCUGAUUUUAUGUCCUUGACCACAGUUCUC